Small nucleolar RNA from Pollicipes pollicipes, 75 nucleotides. Lineage: Eukaryota; Metazoa; Arthropoda; Thecostraca; Pollicipedomorpha; Pollicipedidae. The record is from RefSeq and is a predicted model, not a curated record.
GUCUUAAAUGAUGACCUUGCAUACCGCCCCAGUCUGAGCAUUCAUGACUGAGUGGUUACAAUGUUCUGACCAUUC